Molecule: ribosomal RNA, 378 nt
Filed under: uncultured eukaryote
Lineage: Eukaryota
Description: SSU rRNA
Rfam family: Eukaryotic small subunit ribosomal RNA
Source: RNAcentral
AGCUCCAAUAGCGUAUAUUAAAGUUGUUGCGGUAAAAGCUCGUAGUUGGAUUUCUGUUGAGGAUGGGCGGUCCGCACCAUGUGCGCUGAUCUGCUUCAGCCUCGGCAUCCUCUCGGAAGACGCUUCUGCGCUUCAUUGCGUGGAGCGGAUCUCGGGACUUUUACUUUGAGGAAAUUAGAGUGUUCACGGCAGGCUUUCGCCCGAAUACAUUAGCAUGGAAUAAUACUAUAGGAUCUCGGUUCUAUUUUGUUGGUUUCUAGAAGCGAGAUAAUGGUUAAUAGGGACAAUUGGGGGCAUUCGUAUCAACACGUCAGAGGUGGAAUUCUUGGAUUGUGUUGCGACGAACUACUGCGAAAGCAUUUGCCAAGGAUGUUUUCA